RNA transcript from Myxocyprinus asiaticus (Chinese sucker), 9258 nucleotides. It is a transcript of the gene named arf-GAP with Rho-GAP domain, ANK repeat and PH domain-containing protein 1, with no coding region annotated. The record is from RefSeq and is a predicted model, not a curated record. Lineage: Eukaryota; Metazoa; Chordata; Actinopteri; Cypriniformes; Catostomidae. The transcript is spliced from 36 exons.
ACAGUCGCGUCGCGUCACAUCAAGCCGCUGCUUUUGGAGUUUCACACAGACGCGCAGUGACGCGCAGCCCUCGGAAGGUUUUUAUGAAUCUUUUUCUCUUUUUUCAGUGGAUUUGUGUGUUUGACUGGCAGUGAGGAACAUAUGCAGACUUUAAACAGAAACAAACAAACAAACAACACGAUGAAAAAAAUACCUCUGUAAUCUGAGCAUUAUCACACACUGUGCACCUCUUUUUCCAGAGCUCAUGAUUCUCUAACCUCUCUCAUCACAUAGUCCUGCAGUGUAUAUCUGCAGCAUUCCGAAAUCUACCGCAGUUUUCCGAUCAUGUCCUUUUUCCUGGCGGAGAGUUCCCAGCCUGUGGUGGAGUGGUUGAGCGGCCUCCGGCUCGACCAGUACUGCUCUGCAUUCCAGGAGGCUGGACUGGGAAUGUUGUGGGAAUGCCGGGAUUUAACAUCUGCAAAACUUCAGCAGAUGGGCGUGGCACUUCCCGGCCACAGGAAGCGGAUUCUCGGGAGUCUACACAAGCUUUUCCCCUCAGAGGUGGGGAUGGGAGAAGACGAGGAGAGAGAUGAAGACAGACCCGUUCCCAGACAGAGGACGAAAUUUCAAAAGUCUGCAGAAGGGGUGCCUGAAGGGGCGGAACUGCCAAAUAAGGACAACAGCAUCCUGGACAAACGCCCGCCUCCCGUCCCGCCUCGGGUCAUGCCCAAUCGGCCUCCUAUUCCCUUUACGUCUGGAUCUGUAAUCAUGGCAACAACCCUUGACCCCAGCACGGAGACAAACACUGUACAACCCCCAACCAUUCCAGAGACUAAAGAAACAGCCACACCUGCUGAUCGAUCCAAACCCACCCCAGUUCCGAGGCUUCGCCCGGAACACCUGCCUCUUAAAGAGCCACCGCAACAACCCCAGAAGUGCGAGAAGAAACAAUCACCUGUAUCACCCUCUCUCUCUCUCUCUUCCAUUUCCUCUUCAUCAUCAUCUUCCUCCUCCGAUCAGAUCCACCUGUACGAGCAGUGUUCCUCGCAAGGAGAAAUGGGUGCUCCUCCUCUUCCUCCUAAGAGCUAUGCUAUGGGUGUGUCGAAGGAACCCAAAGAUGCCCAGUCACACCCUCCGGUCCCGUAUAGACCUCCCAUUCCACCCCCACGUAUCUCUGUCUCCAUCAGGACUACAAAUUUCAGAAACAUCUCUUCCGGAAGCAUGCCCAGUUUCAGCUCUCCUGUGGAUGAUAUCUGGGAAACAGAUCGAGCUCCUGAUAUUCCACCACGGAUCAGAUCUCCUAAGAGAGGAGCCCCGCUGCCAGCCCUCAGAAACAAGUUGGAUUCAGCAGGAAGUUCAGACGAAUAUGACGAUCAUGACUCGGACAACUGCAGAGACACUAAACUCAUAGACAUGGCCAACAAGAUGUCUUUGAUGGUUCCCAAGGAGACGAAACCCCGUUACAGCAGCCUGUGCAGCGAUGAUGAGCUACUGGACGAUGACGCCGACUGUUAUGAAUCCAUAACAGUAAAACGGGAUUCAUGGAUUGAAGAUUUCGGUUUGAUCCCCAGCUGUCAGAACAGCAUCUACCUGCCAAACACAGGUCAUGUUAAUGCCCCAACCCCUCGUGAAGACUCCGCCUCCACUCUCACCCCCAUCAUUAAAAUGGGCUGGCUUUACAAGAAUCCUCCACAGGGGUCUCUGAUCUAUCAGCGCCGUUGGGUUAAACUGGAUGCAGAGUACAUGAGAUACUUUGACAGUGAGAAGGACGUCUAUUCCAAGCGGAUCAUACCAACUGCGUCCAUCACGGGGGUCGUCAAUGUGGGUGAUCAGAAGUUUGAAGUGGUGACCCACAAUCGCACUUUCCUGUUCCGGGCGGAAAGUGACUCGGAGAGGAACGGGUGGGUUACUGUGUUGAAGGAUUGUGUCGGAGCGUCUCGGUCGCGGGCAAGUCUGGAUUUGACCUUUAACCCAUGCGUGACAACUGAGAUGAAGGGUUAUCUGGAGCUGCGCGGGCUGCGCUCGAAACUCUACACGGUCGUGUGCACGGAUAAAGUCUUUCUCUACAAAAACACUGAGGAUUAUCGUUUGGGAAUAGGAAUCACCUCUAUUGAUAUGAACGUUGGGAAUGUGAAAGAGAUGGACCGAAGAGCUUUUGAUCUGACCACACCAUACCGCAUAUUCAGUUUCAUAGCAGAUUCAGACCAGUUGAAGGAUCAGUGGGUGGAGGCAAUGCGUGAUUCUAUUGCAGAGGCAUUGUCCAACUAUGAAGUAGCUGAGCGGAUCUGGGCAGAGCCGUCCAAUCAGAUGUGUGCAGACUGCAGUGCUGCUAAACCUGAGUGGGUGUCGAUCAACCUGGCUGUGGUAUUCUGCAAGCGAUGUGCAGGAGAACAUCGUGGUCUGGGCCCAAGCAUUUCAAAAGUAAGGAGUCUCAAAAUGGACAAGAAGGUUUGGACGGAAGAGCUCAUCCAGUUGUUCCUAACUCUUGGAAAUGAGCGAGCCAAUCAGUUUUGGGCGGCGAAUGUACCGCCGAGUGAGGCGUUAAUGGUGAUCAGCAGCAGCGAGGAGCGACGGCGUUUCAUCACAGCGAAAUACUGCGAAGGGAAAUACCGCCGAUAUCACCCACUGUUCGGCAACCAGAAAGAACUCAACAACGCGUUGUGUAUUAACGUUCAGUCCAGCGACGUGUGUGAGACGUUGGCUUUGGUUUUCUGUGGCGCUGAUGUGAACUGUGACACAGGCGACCCGGAUUUGCCCACGCCGAUCGCCCUGGCGCAACAUCACGGCCAGAGCCUGCAGGUGGAGUUUCUCACACAGAACCGCAACACAGAGCUCCCAAGGUCAGAGGUGAAGGUUGCCAUAGAUACGGUGCACUACAUGGCCCCGCCCUCCGUCACGCAUAACGGCUUCCUUUUUAAGACCGCCUCCAUGGUUCGACCAAUCACAGAGAAGAAGAGCAAAGAAGAGUUCAGUCGGCGCUGGUGUGUUCUGAAUGACGGUAAUUUUAGCUACUAUGAAAGUGAUAAAAACGCGACACCAAAUGGCGGACUGAAGAUGAGAGAGAUCGUUUGUCUCGCCGUCAACCCCGCAGAGACUCAUGGGUAUGAUUACACAUUUGAGUUGUACUCUGAUACGGAGCGUUUGUAUCUGUUUGGCAUUGAUAAUCCAGAAACCAUGCGUGAGUGGGUCAAAUCCAUCGCUAAGUCAUUUAUUCCAGUCGGAGCAGAGGAUCUGUUACUAAAAGACUUUGAGCGCAUCGGCCGACUGCGUUAUAAAGACGGUCUGAAUCUAGAAAGCUCCAGACUGGCCUGGUUCUCUCUGGUGGGGUCGAAUCUGCACAUCCGUGUGGACGAACAUCUCAGAGACGAAACCAUCGACCUGCAGAAACUCCUGGAGCUCUCGAUCCAGCCUGAAAAUGAAGUUCUAGUUCUAGUGGAGAGAGGCAGGACGCUGUACAUCGAGGGCGAGAGGAAGUUGGAUUUUCAGGGAUGGGCGACAGCGAUCCAGAGAGCAGCAGGGAGUUCAGGAGACACACUGAGUCAACAGCAGCUGACAGAGGCGAAUAUUCCUGUUAUAGUGGAGCGCUGCAUUCACUUCACCACACAAUACGGUCUGACCUCAGAGGGCAUCUAUCGUAAGAGUGGGGUGAACAGUAAGAUCGCCGCCCUGCUGGAGGAGUUCCGGCGUGAUGCGAGGUGUGUGUGGCUGAAGGAGGGAGAACAUCAGGUAGACGACGUGUCCAAUGUUCUCAAGAGGUUCUUCAGAGACAUCCAGGAGGGAUUGUUUGCACAGCAGGUGCACAACUGGCUUAGCACUACAGAUGUUUCAGAUGAAAGCAGCCGAGUCUGUCAGUAUCGUCUACUGUUCAGUAACCUGCCGCGAGUCAACCAGGCGACACUACGAGCACUAGUCAAUCAUUUAUACUGUGUCCAGCGGUUUGCCGAUCUCAAUCAAAUGAAUCUUCAUAAUCUCGCUAUUGUGUUCGGGCCAACUCUCUUCCAGACAGACGGGAAGGAUUACAACGCCGGCCGAGUCAUCGAAGAUCUCAUCCAACACUAUGUCACCAUAUUCGAUGUGAACGAGCAGCAGUUAAAGAGACAGUUAGAUGAGAUCACGUACAUCAUAAAACUGAGAGAAAACCUCAAUCCUAAAGCUGGUCCGGCCAGUGGUGAUUUCAUUUGUACAGUUUACCUGGAGGAGAAAAAGGAAACGGCCGAACAGCAUGUAAAGAUUCCCGCCGCAAUGACUGCAGCAGAAUUGACGUUUGAGAUUCUGGACCGACGGAAAAUCAGUGUGAGAGAGAAAGACUACUGGUGCUGUUUCGAAGUCAACGAGAAAGAGGAGACGGAGCGUCCGUUGCACUAUGAGGAGAGAGUUCUGCCCAUCAUACAUUCACUCGGCACAGACAGUUACCUGCUCGUCAAAAAACACUUCUCCAUGGAGGCCAUGCUCAUCUACCUGGCCAGUAAAGUGGAAGUGUCUAAACACGGUAUGAUGAAGUUUCGAGAAGAGAGAAGUUUACUGGGUUUGGGUCUGAGCUCUGGAAGCUUCAAUGAUCGAUACUUCAUACUGACCAACACCUCGCUUAGACUCUAUAAAGAAGUCCGGAAUCUACAAAAGCUACAAAACCCAGAGAUGCAGUGUAGUAAUCGUCCAGAGAAGGAGUGGCCAGUCAAGUGUCUGAAGGUUUAUCACGGCAUUAAAAAGAAGCUCCGCCCACCUACUUGUUGGGGUCUAACAGUCAUCUAUGAGAGUGAGAAACAGGACAAGCAGGAGAAACAGCAAUGGUAUCUCUGCUGCGAUACACAGAAUGAAAUGAGAGAAUGGUUCGCUACAUUUCUGAGCAUACAGAACGGAGGUCGCGUCUGGCCAGCAGAGUGGUUGAAGUCCCGCGAUGCGUGUCGCUCGGUGCCUCUGGAUGCUCGUUUUGGUAACGUGUCAUUGAUUCCACUGCGUGGCAGUGAGAACGAGAUGAGGAACAGUGUCGCCGCUUUCACAGCUGAUCCUCUCGCUCUCUUUAGAAAUGUUUGACGAUGAAGUAAACAGUGUUCAGACCAGGGACCUGAUGCAUAAACAUUGUGUAGCACAAAAUGGGCAUUGAAAUGAACUGAUGGUUUGAGAGGGUUAAAGUCACGUUGGCAUCGUUUGAUCGGUCAGAGGAUGUUCUGGAACUUCAGUCAGAAUUCCGAAGUUCUCUAGAACUUUGGAUCUACAUUCGUUGAGCAUUUGGAUGUUCAUGUAGUUUUACACACACUUUGACCUUCCACAGAGUUGACGGCACCUUAUAUUUCACUGAUUUAAUCGCUCACUCUUUCCCGAGAUAUAAUACUCUGCUGUGGUGCAUUCUGGGAUAUCAGACUGUACCUGGACUUGUUUUCACAUGGGUCACACGGUGUUGAAGGAUGGAAUGGAUUUAUGCUACGUGUUUUGGAGUUUUGUGAAUAUGUGUUCAUAAACUGAUCGUGUGCGAGACGACUGACCAAUCAGAGCACUUGUCUCGUUCUCUCUCCAUGUGUUCACUGGACGGCAGCGUCGCAUGUGGAAUAUUUAAUGUCCAUUUAACCGAAUGAAACACUUGAGUUUGGAGGGGUGUAUCCUGAGAGCAACGGACCUGUUUUACAGACUUCUUAAAAUGAUUGCACAGGGUUUGUUUUUGAUAGUUGUGUUUGGUGUCACUCUCACAAACGUCGCUCAAAUGAAGAAUCACGUCAUGUUUGAAAUGUAACAGGUCACAGAAAUUGUUCAUGUUGGGUUGUGCGAGUGGAUAUAAUGCUGCAUUCACGCGGUGUCAGAAUUAGCAUAAUGACGAGUUGUAACCAUUCACGCUUUCGUUGAACUAAAAUUUAGUUGAAUUUCGUUGAUUGCAAGAUGGAAAAUUUUUUACAAAAGCUCCUUUAGUUUUUUGAAAGAUGAUGUCAAACAUAAACAACAAAAAUGGCGAUGGCUUCAGCAGUUAACAGUGGUUAUUUUAGUUACUGCUACAUAUUUCUGUUUGAAAAGUAAUUUUAUUAUAGUCAGUGUUACCUUGUACAAUUCCUUUGUUAUUCAGUAUUUUGGCGUUAAUGGAAUAUUCCGGUUUCACUACAAGUUGAGCUCAAUCGACAGCAUUUGUGUCAUAAUGUUGAUUACACACAAAAAUUAAUCUCGACUCGUUCCUCCUUUUUUGAAUGUGUGUUCCAGUGAGACACUUACAAUGGAAGUCAAUGGGGUCAAUAAUCUGUAAACAUUAAAAUACUCACUGUUUCAAAAGUAUAGACACAAGACAUAAACAAUAUGUGUGUUAACAUGAUUUUACUGUCAUAAAAUCACUUACUAACCACAUCUGUGGAAAGAUAUAGAAAAUUUUACAACUUCGUUGCCAUGGCAACACAAUGCCUAAAACUCUUAAACCAAAAAACAACCAUAAAAACAAUGAUUUAUACAACUUUACAGCUGAAAUAAUACAGAAGAAUUAAUGUAAGUGCUUUUAUAAAAUUAUAAUCUUCACAUUUCUGACUUUAAACCCUCCAAAAAUUGACAAGGAAAAGGAGGAACGAGUCGAAAUUAAUUUUGUGGUAAUUAACAUUAUGACACAAAUGCUGUUGAUUGAGCUCAACUUGUAUUGAACCCGGAAUAUUCCUUUAAUGUUUUGAUGAAAUAUCAGCAUCAAAGUUGCAGAUGGACACAUUGUUGCCGUUGUAACAUUUGCUGUUGAAGCAAAUCAUUUCUAAAUCAGACGAUGUGAACAUUGAAGUUGUUUUCAGUAAUUCCAGUGAGACAUGAACGCAGUGUGAGUCUGUGUGUGUGUGUGUGUGUGUGUGUGUGUUUAUUUGUGUUAUGUUUGUAUCAGAAAUUGUGUAUGUUUGUUCGUGUCUUACGUCAGAUGUUCCACAACUUGUUCACUGCAUUCAGUCAUGUAGAUAAAGGUCCAAUUGUUUUAAUGAUAGUGAUUUUCAGAAAUGUAUUCACAUAAUUAGUUCUAAUAAUUUAAUGUAAAUUUUCUACACUGUUGCAUUCCAGAUAAGACUGUGAUGUUUUUAUUUAGGAGACACAUCAGUGUAAAAAUGAAUUUCUUUAGUUUACACAAACUGAGCAUCAUUCAUGAAACACAAGCAGAACAUAUUCAUGUCAACUCGUUAAUGUAAAACCAUUAUUACAUAAAAUGACACGUGAAUAUUUACUCAAGAAUGGUUUCACAAGUAAAUGCAACAAUUUGCAUAACUAUAAGUGUGGUUUUUACAAACUAAUAAUUUGACAGUUUGUGUGAGAAUAGUUUUACAAACAAAUGUGACAAUUCAUUUUAGAAAUGUUUCAUAUGAAGCAAAGCAGCAGUGUACAUAAAAUUAUAUUACAAGCAAUUGUGACAAUUUACAUAAGAAGGGUUUUAUGAAAUGUGACUAUGAAAAUGUUUUAUGAUCAAAUGUAACAAUAUGUAACAAAGGUUUCAUGAAAUAAUGUGGUCAUUUACAUAAAAAUGCAUUUAUGAAAGAAAGUGACAAACAAAUGCUACAAUUCACGUAAGAAGGGUUUAACAAAAGAAAGCAACAAUUUACACUGGUGUCCAAAAGUUUGGACUAAUGUACAGAUUUUGCUCUUAUGGAAAGAAAUUGGUACUUUUAUUCACUAAAGUGGCAUUCAACUGAUCACAAUGUAUAGUCAGGACUUUAAUAACAUGAAAAAUUACUAUUAAAAUGUUCAGAACUUCUUAAACUACUUCAAAGAGUUCUCAUCUAAAAAUCCUCCAUGUGCAGCAAUGACAGCUUUGCAGAUCCUUGUUAUUCUAGCUGUCAGUUUGUCCAGAUACUCAGGUGACAUUUCACCCCACACUUCCUGUAGCACUUGCCAUAGAUGUGACUGUCUUGUCGGGCACUUCUCACACACCUUACAGUCUAGCUGAUCCCACAAAAGCUCAAUGGGGUUAAGAUCCAGAACACUCUUUUCCAAUGAUCUGUUGUCCAAUGUCUGUGUGUCUUUGCCCACUCGAACCUUUUCUUUUUCCCAUAAGGCCUGCACCCCUGAGUCUUCUCUUUACUGUUGUACAUGAAACUGGUGUUGAGCGGGUAGAAUUCAAUGAAGCUGUCAGCUGAGGACAUGUGAGGCGUCUAUUUCUCAAACUAGAGACUCUGAUGUACUUAUCCUCUUGUUUAGUUGUACAUCUGGUCUUCCACAUCUCUUUCUGUCCUUGUUAGAGCCAGUUGUCCUUUGUCUUUGAAGACUGUAGUGUACACCUUUGUAUGAAAUCUUUCAAAGCAUUGUAUAGCCUUCAUUCCUCAAAACAAUGACUGACUGACGAGUUUCUAGAGAAAGCUGUUUCUUUUUUUGGCCAUUUUUGACCUAAUAUUGACCUUAAGACAUGCCAGUCUAUUGCAUACUGUGGCAACUCAAAAACAGACACAAAGACAACGUUAAGCUUCAUUUAAUGAACCAAAUAGCUUUCAGCUGUGUUUGAUAUAAUGGCAAGUGAUUUUCUAGCACCAAAUGAUCAAUUUAGCAUGAUUACUCAAGGAUAAGGUGUUGGAGUGAUGGCUACUGUCUAGAUUUGAUCAAAAAUGACUUUUUUCAAAUAGUGAUGGUGCUGUUUUUGACAUCAGUAAUGUCCUGACUAUACUUUGUGAUCAGCUGAAUGCCACUUUGGUGAAUAAAAGUACCAAUUUCUGUCUGAAACAGCAAAAUCUGUACAUUAUUCCAAACUUUUGGCCGUCAGUGUAAAUAUAAUUGUUUAAGAACUAAUGCAACAAUUUACGUUGAAGGGUCUUUCAAAAUAAUGCGACAGUUGGCAUUAAAAUGGUUUUACGAACAAAUGCAACAAAGCUUGUUCAGUUUGUAUUUCAUGAAUGAAGAAAAAUGUCUUUUUUUUCAUCUGAUGGGGUUUGAUUAAAUAAGUGUGUCAUUUUCAGUGUUUUGUGCUCAGAGUAGACGUGAAAUUAAAUUAGGUGACGUAAAUGAGUUUGCAGAAUUACUUCCCAUCAGUUCUCUUAAUUAACGAACAGAUUUUACUCUGGUGAAGUCAGAGAUGAAUUUAUGAAGGGUCACUGUGUGUAUUUGUGUGUGUUAUGAAAUCUGCUGUACAGACACACACAGAGAUCUCGAUUCAGAUGGUAAUUAGGGUCAUAUACGGUCCAAAUGAAGAUGUAUAUUACAUUUGAAUAGAGAAUAAAGAAUAACCUGUUUGAGUUUGUCAGGUUAAUUCAUGAUGAGGACAAUGUGAGAUUCUAACUUGAUUUGAAAGUCUUUGUACAUGUUGUAUUUUGCCUUUGAUUGCUCGUUAAAGUUGAUAGUAAAUUUGGUCAUUCUAUAACA